CAAACAGGCAGUCAGUGAAUGAGGUUCAGCUGAGAAGUCUAUCUGGCUCGUGAGCUCUAGCUCUGGUGGCAGUUCAGGUGUAGCUGUCCAGUGGACAAAUGGUAAUAAAGACAAAAAGAAGAGGAGGAAAAUAGAAAAAUCUUUACACAGCGGUCUGCCAUGUUUAUUGCUAAAUGAGUCCUUAACAGUAACUGAACUCGUGAUACACAGAUGUAGAGGAUGUAGAGAAUUCACACAGACAUAGAAGAGGUAACCAAAAGGUCACCGUAGCCACCAGAUCCAGUCUGUAUCCAAGUCAGAGGGUCACUGCAGUCACCCGGAUCCAG
Molecule: long non-coding RNA, 326 nt
Organism: Cyprinus carpio carpio
Lineage: Eukaryota; Metazoa; Chordata; Actinopteri; Cypriniformes; Cyprinidae
Source: Ensembl